UGGAAUAAAAUUAAGGAUGUGUUGUAAAAAUUACCCCAUCAAUUCUUAAUCAAUUGGAAAGGUAUUAGCAUAAUGGUUCCAUUAUAGCGAUGGGUUUGGCAUAUAACAGGUGACUGUUUCGAUUGCAUAUAUAUUUAGUCCAACGUCUGUUGUUAAGUUGGCAAUGGUAUCUCUGUCAUUUUCAUGGAUCGUGAUCUCUUGACCAUGACCAUUUAACCCCAUUGAUUGAGUGCUUGUUUCAUAUUUAAAUUUGGCUUCAAAAAUUUUCGAUGCACACAAGUAAAUCUCCCAACUUGUAUUAGAAGUUCAUACAAGGGGCUGAAGUGAUGUGUAAAUAACUUGUCAACGCUAUCACUUAAAUAAAUGUAUAAUUGACCAUGCGCCAUCUACGCUGCGAGUUAGAAACUUACUUGGGGCUAUACUAAUUUUGGCUGAAGACAGUAACUUUGCUUGGGUUUUGGGAAGUCUUCGGCCCUCAGAUUUUAAUGGGCUCUGAAGCUGAAAGGAAUAAGUAUGAGUUUGUUGAAGAGGAAUUCUCAAACGAGAGUCCUUGCUGUCGCUGAACAACCCAGUCGACAAGAAGGUUCCACUGCUCGUACAAACAGAACAGCAGUCCUGUGGCGGAGUCUCUGGUUAUAAUUAGAUGAGAAGUAGAAGGGAAAUCUACUCCUCCUGCAAGAUCCCUAUGAAAGGGCUAGGCACGCUUCUGAGGAAAAUUUGCAGCAGAGAAGGAGAGUGAAGAAACCCCGUGUUCGUAAAGGAAAAUUUCAGAUAAAUUGGAUCAGAAAGUUUCAAACAAACUUGUUCAAAAUUGCAUGCGUGUGAUCAUUCGUACAAUUGCCACAGAAGGGAAGGAGAAAGAGAAAGUAGUGAAAGAGGCUUGAGAGUAUCUGAAGACUCUGGAAAGCGCCUUGGAGGGGAACAAAUUCUUUGGAGGUGAAAUCAUUGGCUAUCUGGAGAUUUCUGCAGGAUGGACUCGAAGAUGGACCAAAUAGUUAAGGAAAUUGCUGAUGUAUAUGUGAUCGAUGCAGAUACCAUGCCUCUGCUCAAUGCUUUGUUUUGACCUCUUGCUUGAAGUUCAUGCCGUCAAGGAAAGUAUCCCUUCCCGCGAUAAAUUGCAAGAGGACCUCAAAGGCCUUUACAUCUUGUGGCUGUGGAGAGCUUCAUCAACCUGAAGCCUACAGCUUCAUUUCUCAUUGUGCCUGCCUGGCUUCUGUGCAUGAUCGCUUGUUGGCUAUAUUACAUUAACAAUGAGCUGUAUUCAUGCUGAAAUAAUAUGUAAUCAAAUUAAACCCAAACAAGAAAAAACCCUUAACUAAAUUUUUCAGAAAUAGCAUGCA
Long non-coding RNA from Hevea brasiliensis (rubber tree), 1340 nucleotides. RefSeq lists it as uncharacterized. Lineage: Eukaryota; Viridiplantae; Streptophyta; Magnoliopsida; Malpighiales; Euphorbiaceae. The transcript has 2 exons. The record is from RefSeq and is a predicted model, not a curated record.